AAAGGGGAUAUGAUCUAAUGGUACAAAGCUGGGGGAACUUAGGAAGGCCUGUUUGUUCAGAUUCUUUUUGACAUCUCUGUAUCUCCAUUCCUUUCUGCCAGGUGUGGGGCAGGACAUCUGCCAUAUGAGGGUCGUAUGACCUACUCUCAGGAGAGGUAGGUAAGAGAAUUCUUUCAUGGCUGGCCCUCUCUUCUUAGAAAGGCAGAAGAAGAUCAGAGAAUUAACUUCUUACCUCUGUGAUUUUCUCCAUUUCCAAGGUGCUGUGUUUUGGAGUAGUGUGUCCUGUACCUGUCACCUUUAACAAACAAUUACUGAGCACAUACUGGGUGCCAGAUACUCUGCCAGGCUCUGAGAGGACAGAAAUGCAUAACACACAAUUCCUGCUCUCCAGGAGGCCUUUCAAGAAGAAGAGAGUAGAAAAAAUUCACACAUUGCCCCCAUCCCAAAAUGACAUCAAUCUGAAGAAAGGAAAAGAAAAAGCUGAGUUCAAGACAGCCAAAUGAAUUUUCCAGAAAGACCACAGCUGGCUUGUCAGGACCCAGGAGAAGAAUCCUAUGUUUUGAUGGACAUGAGAACAGACAAACUUGAAGAAUUGGGAGAGCAGGAGGCCCUGCCAGAGGAAGGCCUGUCUAAAUCCACAUACCAGUGCAGGCUGUCUUCGGCUGUCCUACGCGCUAAGGGACAUAACUCAGCACAACUAAUCCCGUGAUACGUCAGCCACUGCAUCCAUAAACCAGUGACCACUUCUGAAGCAGUAAAAGUUAUUUUGCUGCAAAUCUAUCUCCAGGAUCCUAAAUGUGUUUAAUUGGGGUGAGCCAUUAACUGAAUUAAAUGAGACAUACGUUUACCAGCAGGUGGCAAUAGAGGUAAUGGUGUCUCCCAAAACGUUAAACUUGCAUUAUUUUAUAUGCCAGAAAUGGGAACCUUCAAAACUUGAUUGGGUCCCAACUUAACUUCACUCUAUCUUAUAUUUGCUUUCGGAGAUGAAAUUAUUCAAGCCAAGAUAUUGUAAUCAGAAACAUAAAUUUUUAUUUUAUUAAGCUGAUAUUGUGCUUCAUUUCCUAAG
Molecule: long non-coding RNA, 1066 nt
Filed under: Piliocolobus tephrosceles (Ugandan red Colobus)
Lineage: Eukaryota; Metazoa; Chordata; Mammalia; Primates; Cercopithecidae
Description: lncRNA (ENSPTEG00000023388.1)
Source: RNAcentral